AUUGAACGCUGGCGGCAUGCUUUACACAUGCAAGUCGAACGGUAACAGGCCUUCGGGUUCUGACGAGUGGCGAACGGGUGAGUAUGCAUCGGAACGUGCCCAGAGGUUGGGGAUAACGCAGCGAAAGCUGUGCUAAUACCGCAUGUGAUCUGAGGAUGAAAGCGGGGGACCAGGCAGCAAUGUUUGGCCUCGCGCCUUUUGAGCGGCCGAUGUCAGAUUAGGUAGUUGGUGGGGUAAAGGCCUACCAAGACGACGAUCUGUAGCUGGUCUGAGAGGACGACCAGCCACACUGGGACUGAGACACGGCCCAGACUCCUACGGGAGGCAGCAGUGGGGAAUUUUGGACAAUGGGCGCAAGCCUGAUCCAGCAAUGCCGCGUGCGGGAAGAAGGCCUUCGGGUUGUAAACCGCUUUUGUACGGAACGAAAAGGCUCUGGCUAAUACCUGGGGCUGAUGACGGUACCGUAAGAAUAAGCACCGGCUAACUACGUG
This 491-nucleotide ribosomal RNA is filed under the name uncultured bacterium. RNAcentral's name for it is "partial 16S ribosomal RNA". It matches the Rfam family "Bacterial small subunit ribosomal RNA", at positions 30 to 507 of the family's 1533-position model. The record is from RNAcentral.